This 278-nucleotide ribosomal RNA is filed under the name uncultured bacterium. Its description in RNAcentral is "partial 16S ribosomal RNA". It matches the Rfam family "Bacterial small subunit ribosomal RNA", at positions 30 to 305 of the family's 1533-position model. The record is from RNAcentral.
AUUGAACGCUGGCGGCAUGCUUUACACAUGCAAGUCGAACGGCAGCACGGGUGCUUGCACCUGGUGGCGAGUGGCGGACGGGUGAGUAAUGCAUCGGAACGUGUCCUGAAGUGGGGGAUAACGCAUCGAAAGAUGUGCUAAUACCGCAUAUUCUCUGAGGAGAAAAGUAGGGGAUCGAAAGACCUUAUGCUUUUGGGAGCGGCCGAUGUCUGAUUAGCUAGUUGGUAAGGUAAUGGCUUACCAAGGCAACGAUCAGUAGUUGGUCUGAGAGGACGGCC